GCUGGCCCCGCCCCGAAGUGCUGGGUUCCAUCCUGCCUGGCUGGGUGACCUCAGCCCACUGCCCCUGGCUGAACUCGAGAACAAAGAUCCUCUCUGUCCCGCCUACUUGCUUCUUAACCAUAUGAGUGAGAGGGCAAAUGAGAUCCCAUUUUGAACUCCCAGGAGAAAAGACAGCAGUAAUAGUAACAAUUAUCUGGAGGUUACAGCUGCCAGCAAACAGAAAACAGCUCACCUCUAAGGGCAACUGGAGGCCACUUCUAGGAGCUGGAGCAGUCUAUCCUCUUGGGCUCUGGGGGUGUGGGAGUGAGAGGGAAGGACAGAGAACACCAGGGGUUUUGCUGCAGAUGCAUUCACGUUCUUGGCUUCUCUAGGUGCAUGGGAACCCUGAGAAGGCCUUCCCGUGCCCCCCCAGUUUCUUGCUCUGAUCUGUGAAUCCUGGCUUCUCCAUUUGUGACGUGAUGAUUAAGGGCAAAAGUGGACUUGUCAGAAACAGGAAGGAAAGAUAAGAUAAAAAUAAAACAAAAUAAAAUAAAAAGUUAGCUAGACAUAACUUUCUCCCCUCCCCCCCGCUCCCCAACAGUCAUAUCCUUAAAACAAAAAUCCCACAGCAAAGCCCAGAAUGGGGGGUCAGACUUCGGGCUCCAGGUCAAGGCUGGAGAGCAGUGGGGGAAGUGAUUCAGCACCCUGCACCCGCCCAGAUGAAGGAGCAGAGUGCCAGGAGGCCCGGCCAGGACGCAGGGCUGUGGGUAGCGCGGCCCGCCUCAGCCUCAGCCCUGCACACUGCGCUCAGCCCUGCACACUGCGCUCAGCCCCCAUUCACCCCAAGAGCCAGCGAGCUGGGGAGCUGCAGCGUGAUUGAUGGGCCCCAGCUUGAAUGGAAAGUCCAGAUCCCAGGGAGACAGCUUAAGAGGUACGGAAAGACUGCAGUCAUUUGGAAAAUGGAAAUAUAGUCUCAGUUUCCAAAGGGGUUCGUCAUUUGGGUGAGCUUUAUGGAGAUCAGUCUUCAGGAUGUAUCUGAAUUAUCAUGCAUCUCUGUAUCGUUUGGGCUUGGGUUUGAGAGGAAUUGAGAGAGAAGAAAGCCAGUUCAGCUUGACCAAGAAGACAGACCAUCUUGAAAUUUUUGGUUCUAUGGGCAAAGUUCAAGUCUACCUGAUUUUCUGAAUGUUACAGUCAAAUGAACAAAUGUUAGAUAUUGUGCGUUUAUUUCUACUGGGCACUUCGCCAGGACCACCUAUCCAUCGUCUGAUGCAGUCCUUCAAAUAAUCCUAUGAAGAAGUUAUUAUUGUCCCCAGAAGAGGAACCUGAGGCUCAGAAGAGUUAAGUAACUUGCCUUGGGUGACAUACGCUGUGGAUGUGUCUUGAACCUAUGGCUGUCAGACUCCACAACUUUUAUUCUUAUUUACUACACUCUACCUGCUGUUUCCGAGAAAUAACUCUGUUCUCUGAGAUUGCUGGGGUCCAAACCAUCAUUAAUGAUGCAAACCUCAAGAGAGAAACAAGAAGGGCUCCUGCUAAACACACCAGUAGUGGUCUGUAAGACUCUGGUGUUCCCAUUGGCUUGAUCAAAAUGCAUCGUUUAUUACUGGGUCUUUUAUUUGUCUACUUUCGCAUGAAUAAAGUUUGUUAACUGUAUGAGGAUUGUUCUUAU
This 1648-nucleotide long non-coding RNA is filed under the name Ursus maritimus (polar bear). RNAcentral describes it as "lncRNA (ENSUMAG00000009062.1)". Lineage: Eukaryota; Metazoa; Chordata; Mammalia; Carnivora; Ursidae. The record is from RNAcentral.